RNAcentral lists this ribosomal RNA (253 nucleotides) under uncultured bacterium. Its description in RNAcentral is "partial 16S ribosomal RNA". It matches the Rfam family "Bacterial small subunit ribosomal RNA", at positions 524 to 776 of the family's 1533-position model. The record is from RNAcentral.
UACGGAGGAUGCAAGCGUUAUCCGGAAUGAUUGGGCGUAAAGCGUCCGCAGGUGGCUAUGUAAGUCUGCUGUUAAAGAGUGAGGCUCAACCUCAUAAGAGCAGUGGAAACUACAUAGCUAGAGUGCGUUCGGGGCAGAGGGAAUUCCUGGUGUAGCGGUGAAAUGCGUAGAUAUCGCUUGGAACGCCAACGGUGAAAACAGCUCGCUGGGGGUGUGCUGACGCUGAGACACGAAAGCCAGGGGAGCGAACGGG